ACCAUUAUGAUGUUCAAAUCAAACUGAGUGCCUUUAUCGAUCUAUUUUUGAUUGAUUUUGGCGUAUUUAAAGGGAUGUUCGCAGUAGCGAGGCAUUUGUCUGAAUGAAAC
Small nucleolar RNA from Drosophila takahashii, 110 nucleotides. RefSeq annotates it as small nucleolar RNA Me28S-Am2589. The record is from RefSeq and is a predicted model, not a curated record. NCBI's taxonomy places the organism in Eukaryota, Metazoa, Arthropoda, Insecta, Diptera, Drosophilidae.